AUGCCUUGGCAUCCUACCCACCUGACUCAAAAAACUGUGUCUUGCACUUUGGCAGGAGCCAGAGGAAUGCUUGGUUACAUGAGGACGGGUAUCCUCUCUCUGAUUUUGUGUCCAGCGUUUCCAGAGAACACAGGAAAAUGCUUCUGUCAGGCUCCAUGGAAUUGCAGAUGGAGGCUCCAGUCUACAAAGCAUCAGACCUCGUGGAUGGUUGAUCAGGAUUAUAUGCUCUGAUAUUAUGUUUCUACCAGCUGAGAAGCCCUACAUCAGGUCAGUGAUGGUAAGGAGAACCUUGCAGGAACCUAAGGCACUUAGAUCUCUUCCUUUGCACCUCAAAACUCCUUAAAUCAAAACCUGUCUUUUUGUUCUACUGUAUUUUAUCUCCCCCCUUUCAAUUCUCCAAGUAAGAGAAGCUGUGUAUGGAUUUUCAGUUAAGAUAUAUGCAAAGGAGAUAAAAAAUGAUGUGAUUGAAUUGACAGGUGAAAAGUGUGUCAGUGUCACACAAGAAAUAUAAAUCAUGCAACUGUUUUCAGUGUAUAUAUAAUGGUACAAGUGACAGCAGAAGUUGGUUGAAAGAUGGAAAUUUCCUUAAUUUCAGUUGCCAGGACAAAUAGGAACAAAGGAAAAACACAUCAUACAGUUCUUGCCCUUCUGAAGAGCACUCAGCAAGGCAUUCAACAUUCAUUUCACUCUUGCCCAGAAAAACUGCUUCUCCAGAAGCCUUAAUUUUCUAGCAGGGCUGUGCUUUGUCUUGGAGCAUCAUAUUUAAAAAAGGAUUCUAAUACAGAAAUGAGGAAACGAUACUUCUAGGGACCUCCUGUUCAAUUUUCUUUUUCUCUGAAAAUUCAGUUAGACUUCUGUCAGCUGAAGGUACAUAUUGUUCAUCAGUUUAUUUCAUUUUCAAACUGAACAUUUGAAAGAGCAGCUAGGAGUUGUCUGCUCACUUUGCAGUCAGUGGAGGGAGAGAGAGGCACUGGCAGGAGUCACAUCAGCCCCCAGUCUGUGCUCUACCAGUCUCCUCCCCAGACAGAGGCAGCAGAGACAGCCCCCUUUAAGAAGAUUCCUGGCAUUUACACAGACAAGCUGAGGUUAAUCUCAUCUUAUUUGGAAAAGACAAGGAGGUUGCAAUAGAGAGAAACCCCCUACCAUAAGGCAUGCACUGAUGACAUUUUUUUUUUCACUUUAUUUGAAAAGCCUCUGGGCUUCACAGCUUGUUCUCCACAUUUCUUAGGGAAAAAAAAAUUAGAUGUUUUUGCAGGCUGGUUUACACAGGCAACAAACGUUGACACAUAAAAUAAAUUUCUGUUCCCCUAAACUAAAUUUAUCUGG
RNAcentral lists this long non-coding RNA (1326 nucleotides) under Cyanistes caeruleus (blue tit). RNAcentral's name for it is "lncRNA (ENSCCEG00000012547.1)". The record is from RNAcentral. Lineage: Eukaryota; Metazoa; Chordata; Aves; Passeriformes; Paridae.